RNAcentral lists this ribosomal RNA (301 nucleotides) under uncultured bacterium. RNAcentral's name for it is "partial 16S ribosomal RNA". It matches the Rfam family "Bacterial small subunit ribosomal RNA", at positions 509 to 807 of the family's 1533-position model. The record is from RNAcentral.
CAGCCGCCGCGGUAACACGGAGGGUGCAAGCGUUAAUCGGAAUUACUGGGCGUAAAGCGCACGCAGGCGGUCUGACAAGUCAGAUGUGAAAUCCCCGGGCUUAACCUGGGAACUGCAUUUGAAACUGUCAGGCUGGAGUCUUGUAGAGGGGGGUGGAAUUCCAGGUGUAGCGGUGAAAUGCGUAGAGAUCUGGAGGAAUACCGGUGGCGAAGGCGGCCCCCUGGACAAAGACUGACGCUCAGGUGCGAAAGCGUGGGGAGCAAACAGGAUUAGAUACCCGGGUAGUCCCUGUCUCUUAUAC